Molecule: ribosomal RNA, 433 nt
Filed under: uncultured bacterium
Lineage: Bacteria
Description: partial 16S ribosomal RNA
Rfam family: Bacterial small subunit ribosomal RNA
Source: RNAcentral
AACGAACGCUGGCGGCAUGCCUAACACAUGCAAGUCGAACGAGACCUUCGGGUCUAGUGGCGCACGGGUGAGUAACGCGUGGGAACCUGCCCUUAGGUUCGGAAUAACUCCCCGAAAGGGGUGCUAAUACCGGAUAAUGUCUUCGGACCAAAGAUUUAUCGCCUUUGGAUGGGCCCGCGUUGGAUUAGCUAGUUGGUAGGGUAAAAGCCUACCAAGGCGACGAUCCAUAGCUGGUCUGAGAGGAUGAUCAGCCACACUGGGACUGGGACACGGCCCAGACUCCUACGGGAGGCAGCAGUGGGGAAUAUUGGACAAUGGGCGAAAGCCUGAUCCAGCAAUGCCGCGUGAGUGAUGAAGGCCUUAGGGUUGUAAAGCUCUUUUACCCGGGAUGAUAAUGACAGUACCGGGAGAAUAAGCUCCGGCUAACUCCGUG